RNAcentral lists this ribosomal RNA (258 nucleotides) under Triticum aestivum (bread wheat). RNAcentral describes it as "partial small subunit ribosomal RNA". Lineage: Eukaryota; Viridiplantae; Streptophyta; Magnoliopsida; Poales; Poaceae. The record is from RNAcentral.
AUGGAGAUAUACUCCAAAGAAGAGGAAUUCUGGCGCCACCGCGGAUCCAUUAACUGGGUGCUUUUUGGGGAUGCCAACACUGCAUACUUUCAGGCCAUCGCCAAUGGCCGGAGGCGACGUUGCUCCAUCCCCCUCCUCUGGGAGGGUGGUCAGUUGUUUCAGGAUCCUCAGGAUAUUCGCCUGCUAGUUGACGACUUCUACAAGUCUCUAUUUCAGGGUCGGCAGCGGAAUGGGGUGGCCCUAGCCGACCAUUUCUGG